UCCGGUUUGUCACCGGCAGUCUCGCGUGAGUCCCCAACUUAAUGCUGGCAACACGCGACAAGGGUUGCGCUCGUUGCGGGACUUAACCCAACACCUCACGGCACGAGCUGACGACAGCCAUGCAGCACCUGUGCUGGCUCCCCGAAGGGUCCUUCACCUUUCGGAUCCGUACCACCAGCAUGUCAAGCCCUGGUAAGGUUUUUCGCGUUGCAUCGAAUUAAUCCACAUAAUCCACCGCUUGUGCGGGUCCCCGUCAAUUCCUUUGAGCUUAAGCCUUGCGGCCGUACUCCCCAGGCGGUCAACUUCACGCGUUAGCUUCGUUACCAAGGAAUUACUUCCCCGACAACCAGUUGACAUCGUUUAGGGCGUGGACUAC
Molecule: unclassified non-coding RNA, 376 nt
Filed under: uncultured Gammaproteobacteria bacterium
Lineage: Bacteria; Pseudomonadati; Pseudomonadota; Gammaproteobacteria
Description: contains 16S-23S intergenic spacer region
Source: RNAcentral